CUGGUUUGAAAUUGUUCACACUACUUGUCUCUGUCCUUGGACAAGACACUUCAUCUGCAUUGUUUUAGUCCACCCAGAUGUAAAUAAGUACUGACCUUAUCUAGGGAAGUAGCUUACAGUGGACUGGCUUCCCCUCCGGGUGGAAGUUGUAGACUCUUAUCCACUUCACACUACUUUGGCUUUGUCUCUUUUUUGGGUUCUGCAUCCUUCAAAGGUUGCGUUCUAUAAAGUUAGGACCAUGUGGCCAUGGAGGCCAAAGUAAAGUAACCAUUCUGAAAUGAGACUGUGUAGCCCAUGGAGCAUUUUUGCAAUAGCAUCAUUAACUUAGCCUUUCCCUACCCCCUGUCUCCUCGCAACCUUGACAGCUGCAAGUGACAAGCUAGCAUAGUGGGCAUAACCUGUAGUUUAGUAAUUAUUUUUCAAUACUUUUUAAACUUAUA
This is a long non-coding RNA of Thalassophryne amazonica, 440 nucleotides long. RefSeq lists it as uncharacterized. Lineage: Eukaryota; Metazoa; Chordata; Actinopteri; Batrachoidiformes; Batrachoididae. The record is from RefSeq and is a predicted model, not a curated record. The transcript is spliced from 3 exons.